GCAACGCCGCGUGAGGGAUGACGGCCUUCGGGUUGUAAACCUCUUUCGGUAGGGACGAAGCGCAAGUGACGGUACCUACUAAAGAAGCACCGGCCAACUACGUGCCAGCAGCCGCGGUAAUACGUAGGGUGCGAGCGUUGUCCGGAAUUAUUGGGCGUAAAGGGCUCGUAGGCGGUUUGUCGCGUCGGGAGUGAAAACCAGGUGCUUAACACCUGGCUUGCUUUCGAUACGGGCAGACUAGAGGUAUUCAGGGGAGAACGGAAUUCCUGGUGUAGCGGUGAAAUGCGCAGAUAUCAGGAGGAACACCGGUGGCGAAGGCGGUUCUCUGGGAAUAUCCUGACGCUGAGGAGCGAAAGUGUGGGGAGCGAACAGGAUUAGAUACCCUGGUAGUCCACACCGUAAACGUUGGGCGCUAGGUGUGGGGUCCAUUCCACGGAUUCCGUGCCGCAGCUAACGCAUUAAGCGCCCCGCCUGGGGAGUACGGCCGCAAGGCUAAAACUCAAAGGAAUUGACGGGGGCCCGCACAAGCGGCGGAGCAUGCGGAUUAAUUCGAUGCAACGCGAAGAACCUUACCUGGGUUUGACAUACACCCUGCCGCUCCAGAGAUGGGGCUUCUUUUGGGG
Molecule: ribosomal RNA, 623 nt
Filed under: Nocardioides sp. Ri2Ps_5050
Lineage: Bacteria; Bacillati; Actinomycetota; Actinomycetes; Propionibacteriales; Nocardioidaceae
Description: bacterial SSU rRNA
Rfam family: Bacterial small subunit ribosomal RNA
Source: RNAcentral